AGCAUUCUGUGUUUUUAAUAUGUGGACAAACACUUAGAGACAGGUUCAAAAUAACCUCUUGCAACCCAGAACUCAUUGUUCAGUAUGAGUCUUGAUACGUGUAAGGAGGGACU
This is a small nucleolar RNA of Callithrix jacchus (white-tufted-ear marmoset), 113 nucleotides long. The record is from Ensembl. NCBI's taxonomy places the organism in Eukaryota, Metazoa, Chordata, Mammalia, Primates, Cebidae.